Molecule: ribosomal RNA, 585 nt
Filed under: Debaryomyces hansenii
Lineage: Eukaryota; Fungi; Ascomycota; Pichiomycetes; Serinales; Debaryomycetaceae
Description: eukaryotic LSU rRNA
Rfam family: Eukaryotic large subunit ribosomal RNA
Source: RNAcentral
GGAGGAAAAGAAACCAACAGGGAUUGCCUUAGUAACGGCGAGUGAAGCGGCAAAAGCUCAAAUUUGAAAUCUGGCACCUUCGGUGUCCGAGUUGUAAUUUGAAGAAGGUAACUUUGGAGUUGGCUCUUGUCUAUGUUCCUUGGAACAGGACGUCACAGAGGGUGAGAAUCCCGUGCGAUGAGAUGCCCAAUUCUAUGUAAAGUGCUUUCGAAGAGUCGAGUUGUUUGGGAAUGCAGCUCUAAGUGGGUGGUAAAUUCCAUCUAAAGCUAAAUAUUGGCGAGAGACCGAUAGCGAACAAGUACAGUGAUGGAAAGAUGAAAAGAACUUUGAAAAGAGAGUGAAAAAGUACGUGAAAUUGUUGAAAGGGAAGGGCUUGAGAUCAGACUUGGUAUUUUGCGAUCCUUUCCUUCUUGGUUGGGUUCCUCGCAGCUUACUGGGCCAGCAUCGGUUUGGAUGGUAGGAUAAUGACUAAGGAAUGUGGCUCUACUUCGGUGGAGUGUUAUAGCCUUGGUUGAUACUGCCUGUCUAGACCGAGGACUGCGUCUUUUGACUAGGAUGUUGGCAUAAUGAUCUUAAGCCACCCGU